This 466-nucleotide ribosomal RNA is filed under the name uncultured bacterium. Its description in RNAcentral is "partial 16S ribosomal RNA". It matches the Rfam family "Bacterial small subunit ribosomal RNA", at positions 28 to 507 of the family's 1533-position model. The record is from RNAcentral.
GACGAACGCUGGCGGCGUGCUUAACACAUGCAAGUCGAACGGAAAGGCCCUGCUUUUGUGGGGUGCUCGAGUGGCGAACGGGUGAGUAACACGUGAGUAACCUGCCCUUGACUUUGGGAUAACUUGGAAACUGGGGCUAAUACCGGAUAGGAGCUCCUGCUGCAUGGUGGGGGUUGGAAAGUUUCGGCGGUUGGGGAUGGACUCGCGGCUUAUCAGCUUGUUGGUGGGGUAGUGGCUUACCAAGGCUUUGACGGGUAGCCGGCCUGAGAGGGUGACCGGCCACAUUGGGACUGAGAUACGGCCCAGACUCCUACGGGAGGCAGCAGUGGGGAAUAUUGCACAAUGGGCGGAAGCCUGAUGCAGCAACGCCGCGUGCGGGAUGACGGCCUUCGGGUUGUAAACCGCUUUCGCCUGUGACGAAGCGUGAGUGACGGUAAUGGGUAAAGAAGCACCGGCUAACUACGUG